RNAcentral lists this ribosomal RNA (879 nucleotides) under Staphylococcus pasteuri. RNAcentral's name for it is "bacterial SSU rRNA". It matches the Rfam family "Bacterial small subunit ribosomal RNA", at positions 69 to 930 of the family's 1533-position model. Lineage: Bacteria; Bacillati; Bacillota; Bacilli; Caryophanales; Staphylococcaceae. The record is from RNAcentral.
ACAGAUAAGGAGCUUGCUCCUUUGACGUUAGCGGCGSMCSGGUGAGUAACACGUGGAUAACCUACCUAUAAGACUGGGAUAWCUUCGGGAAACCGGAGCUAAUACCGGAUAACYUAUUGAACCGCAUGGUUCAAUAGUGAAAGGCGGCUUUGCUGUCACUUAUAGAUGGAUCCGCGCCGUAUUAGCUAGUUGGUAAGGUAACGGCUUACCRAGGCAACGAUACGUAGCCGACCUGAGAGGGUGAUCGGCCACACUGGAACUGAGACACGGUCCAGACUCCUACGGGAGGCAGCAGUAGGGAAUCUUCCGCAAUGGGCGAAAGCCUGACGGAGCAACGCCGCGUGAGUGAUGAAGGUCUUCGGAUCGUAAAACUCUGUUAUCAGGGAAGAACAAAUGUGUAAGUAACUGUGCACAUCUUGACGGUACCUGAUCAGAAAGCCACGGCUAACUACGUGCCAGCAGCCGCGGUAAUACGUAGGUGGCAAGCGUUAUCCGGAAUUAUUGGGCGUAAAGCGCGCGUAGGCGGUUUUUUAAGUCUGAUGUGAAAGCCCACGGCUCAACCGUGGAGGGUCAUUGGAAACUGGAAAACUUGAGUGCAGAAGAGGAAAGUGGAAUUCCAUGUGUAGCGGUGAAAUGCGCAGAGAUAUGGAGGAACACCAGUGGCGAAGGCGACUUUCUGGUCUGUAACUGACGCUGAUGUGCGAAAGCGUGGGGAUCAAACAGGAUUAGAUACCCUGGUAGUCCACGCCGUAAACGAUGAGUGCUAAGUGUUAGGGGGUUUCCGCCCCUUAGUGCUGCAGCUAACGCAUUAAGCACUCCGCCUGGGGAGUACGACCGCAAGGUUGAAACUCAAAGGAAUUGACGGGGACCCGCACAAGC